Long non-coding RNA from Pipistrellus kuhlii (Kuhl's pipistrelle), 458 nucleotides. RefSeq lists it as uncharacterized. The record is from RefSeq and is a predicted model, not a curated record. Lineage: Eukaryota; Metazoa; Chordata; Mammalia; Chiroptera; Vespertilionidae. The transcript has 2 exons.
GCAUGCCUGGCAGAGGUCCCUGAGGAGUGCCCUUAAUUAGGUCUAUAUCAGGUGUAAUGUCCGAGGAGAACCUGGCAACCACAAAGAGUUCCUUUGAACCAGCACCUACACAGCCAUGGAGAUGACAGAAGUCAGGCACUGCUGACCAGCAAGGGUGCUGUGAGGCAGGGAACCUCAGUGAAUGGCUUCUCCCGUGGCCAGCACCAAGGGGAAUGGGCUCAUGCACUGAGAGGAGGCAACAACGGAAAUCCAACGAAUAUGGCCACAGUCGGGGAGUUCCUGAAGCAGCCCCUCCCGAAGUCAGCUCUUAGCAAAUCAGGAUUCAAGUGCGCAGUGCUUAUCUGUCAACUCCUUGAAAGCAUAAACAGGAGUCCAACACCCAGAAGGUGUUUGAUAAACUUUUGCUGAAUACAUAAGAGAACAAUGAGCAACAUCCAUCAAAUUUAUCUGGUGCUGAA